Molecule: long non-coding RNA, 633 nt
Organism: Onychostoma macrolepis
Lineage: Eukaryota; Metazoa; Chordata; Actinopteri; Cypriniformes; Cyprinidae
Exons: 4
Source: RefSeq, a predicted model, not a curated record
CAGAUUCUGAAAAAUCUUAUCAUCUGUUUAUAUGAAGCCUGAAUUUGCAGUCUGAUUCACAUUUUUACAUAUGUAUAUGCACUGCAUUACAUAUGCAUAUAUCACGUGUCUUCAGGACAAAUCUUCAGCGCAUGCACAAAGCCUAAUCACCGUAUUCAUAAGAGAAAGCCACUGCAAUGUCACUGGAGCUACCAUCUGCUACGCUGCUGCUGAAUUGCUGCUGCUGCUGCAAGCAAGGACAAGAACUUGCUACUGCUAAUGCAUACGUCGAUACGGUGAGCCCUUGAGCAUAUCCUGUUGCUACCCAUAUUCAAUGUCGGGUCAAAGAUCAUUUCAUCUGAAGAUAUGCUCUCCAUGGACAAAGAUGUGAUGAACACUUAUGAACAAACAUUCACCAACUUCUGAAAAAAAAAGCCAUUUUAUUAGGAGAUUUUAUUAUUUUUUUUGGCUGAGAUAGAAAUGUGCGACUGAAAGACUGUCGAUAUUUGAUAUAAAUAACAGUUGAUUUUGAAAUGGCUCAUAUUUAUGUCACUUCAUUUAUAUCAUUGUUUUAAUAAUGUAAUAAUAAUGAAUUAAAAAUGAUUUUUUUAUAUUUUAAGACUUAAAAUCUAGGUCUGAGACAAAAAUAAAACA